This 38-nucleotide ribosomal RNA is filed under the name Thermoclostridium caenicola. Lineage: Bacteria; Bacillati; Bacillota; Clostridia; Eubacteriales; Oscillospiraceae. The record is from RNAcentral.
UCUGGUGGCUAUAACGGAGAGGAAACACCUGUUCCCAU